UAACACAUGCAAGUCGAACGGUAACAGGAAGCAGCUUGCUGCUUCGCUGACGAGUGGCGGACGGGUGAGUAAUGUCUGGGAAACUGCCUGAUGGAGGGGGAUAACUACUGGAAACGGUAGCUAAUACCGCAUAACGUCGCAAGACCAAAGAGGGGGGCCUUCGGGCCUCUUGCCAUCGGAUGUGCCCAGAUGGGAUUAGCUAGUAGGUGGGGUAACGGCUCACCUAGGCGACGAUCCCUAGCUGGUCUGAGAGGAUGACCAGCCACACUGGAACUGAGACACGGUCCAGACUCCUACGGGAGGCAGCAGUGGGGAAUAUUGCACAAUGGGCGCAAGCCUGAUGCAGCCAUGCCGCGUGUAUGAAGAAGGCCUUCGGGUUGUAAAGUACUUUCAGCGGGGAGGAAGGCGAUAAGGUUAAUAACCUUGUCGAUUGACGUUACCCGCAGAAGAAGCACCGGCUAACUCCGUGCCAGCAGCCGCGGUAAUACGGAGGGUGCAAGCGUUAAUCGGAAUUACUGGGCGUAAAGCGCACGCAGGCGGUCUGUCAAGUCGGAUGUGAAAUCCCCGGGCUCAACCUGGGAACUGCAUUCGAAACUGGCAGGCUAGAGUCUUGUAGAGGGGGG
This 623-nucleotide ribosomal RNA is filed under the name Enterobacter hormaechei. RNAcentral's name for it is "bacterial SSU rRNA". It matches the Rfam family "Bacterial small subunit ribosomal RNA", at positions 49 to 661 of the family's 1533-position model. Lineage: Bacteria; Pseudomonadati; Pseudomonadota; Gammaproteobacteria; Enterobacterales; Enterobacteriaceae. The record is from RNAcentral.